CCGUCGCCGCCGCCGACCGCCCCGCCGCCAGGAAGGCCGUCACCCUCAAGGACGCCGGCGUCGAGCCGCCGGGCAUCGAACGGGGGAGGGAGGAGAUCCUCGAGGUCCUCGGGAAGAAGACCCGCACCGCCGCCGCCGCCGCCUGAAGCUAAUUAAAUAAAAGGCGUCGUUUUUCUAAUCACAGUUAAUUUAGUCGCUUAAUUUUAGGGAAAAGCUACGAAACGGCAUUCCGUUCGGACGGAGCGAACGGAACAGUUAAUAAAUAAUUAACUUAGGUGUGCUAAGCGAUGGAUAAUGAGCCACCGAUGUCGCGUUUCUGAGUUUUUCCUAAUCUAUCCCGUGCACACGGUAUCUUGUGCUGUAGUCUCCCUUUUAUUUUAUCUUUUUGGGUUUUCUCUUGCGUAAUUUAGGUUUAGUUUUGUUAAUUACUGGCUGCUUUUGUUAAGUGUUUUUCUGAGUCGGCUGUAGUUUUAUCAGGUCGAUGUGUUGUGUUUGGGAUCAAAAAUGUACAUGUGUAUCCAGAAGGGUUGUGACGAAAUAAAGUAAUAGUAAUAAUGAUAAUAAUAAUAAAUGAUGUAGAGCAAAAAAAAUUCCUCUUACGGAA
Molecule: long non-coding RNA, 604 nt
Filed under: Oryza brachyantha (malo sina)
Lineage: Eukaryota; Viridiplantae; Streptophyta; Magnoliopsida; Poales; Poaceae
Description: long non-coding RNA (OBRA_LNC002888)
Source: RNAcentral